CUACGGGGUGCUCCAGUGAGGAAUAUUGCACAAUGGAGGAAACUCUGAUGCAGCAACGCCGCGUGGAGGAUGACGCAUUUCGGUGUGUAAACUCCUUUUAUAUGUCAAGAAAAUGACGGUAGCAUAUGAAUAAGCACCGGCUAACUCCGUGCCAGCAGCCGCGGUAAUACGGAGGGUGCAAGCGUUACUCGGAAUCACUGGGCGUAAAGGACGCGUAGGCGGGAUAUCAAGUCAGGUGUGAAAUCCUACAGCUUAACUGUAGAACUGCACUUGAAACUGGUAACCUAGAGUAUGGGAGGGGGAGAUGGAAUUAGUGGUGUAGGGGUAAAAUCCGUAGAUAUCACUAGGAAUACCUAAAGCGAAGGCGAUCUCCUGGAACAUAACUGACGCUAAGGCGUGAAAGCGUGGGGAGCAAACAGGAUUAGAUACCCCUGUAGUC
Molecule: ribosomal RNA, 439 nt
Filed under: uncultured bacterium
Lineage: Bacteria
Description: partial 16S ribosomal RNA
Rfam family: Bacterial small subunit ribosomal RNA
Source: RNAcentral